RNAcentral lists this ribosomal RNA (480 nucleotides) under Streptococcus sp. oral taxon 064. RNAcentral's name for it is "bacterial SSU rRNA". It matches the Rfam family "Bacterial small subunit ribosomal RNA", at positions 28 to 493 of the family's 1533-position model. The record is from RNAcentral. Lineage: Bacteria; Bacillati; Bacillota; Bacilli; Lactobacillales; Streptococcaceae.
GACGAACGCUGGCGGCGUGCCUAAUACAUGCAAGUAGAACGCUGAAGGAGGAGCUUGCUCUUCUGGAUGAGUUGCGAACGGGUGAGUAACGCGUAGGUAACCUGCCUGGUAGCGGGGGAUAACUAUUGGAAACGAUAGCUAAUACCGCAUAACAGUAGAUGUUGCAUGACAUUUGCUUAAAAGGUGCAAUUGCAUCACUACCAGAUGGACCUGCGUUGUAUUAGCUAGUUGGUGGGGUAACGGCUCACCAAGGCGACGAUACAUAGCCGACCUGAGAGGGUGAUCGGCCACACUGGGACUGAGACACGGCCCAGACUCCUACGGGAGGCAGCAGUAGGGAAUCUUCGGCAAUGGACGGAAGUCUGACCGAGCAACGCCGCGUGAGUGAAGAAGGUUUUCGGAUCGUAAAGCUCUGUUGUAAGAGAAGAACGAGUGUGAGAGUGGAAAGUUCACACUGUGACGGUAUCUACCAGAAAGACG